RNAcentral lists this ribosomal RNA (253 nucleotides) under uncultured bacterium. RNAcentral's name for it is "partial 16S ribosomal RNA". It matches the Rfam family "Bacterial small subunit ribosomal RNA", at positions 524 to 776 of the family's 1533-position model. The record is from RNAcentral.
UACGUAGGGUGCGAGCGUUGUCCGGAAUUAUUGGGCGUAAAGGGCUCGUAGGCGGUCUGUCGCGUCGGGAGUGAAAACUCAGGGCUUAACCCUGAGCCUGCUUCCGAUACGGGCAGACUAGAGGUAUGCAGGGGAGAACGGAAUUCCUGGUGUAGCGGUGAAAUGCGCAGAUAUCAGGAGGAACACCGGUGGCGAAGGCGGGUCUCUGGGCCGAUAUUGACGCUGAGGUGCGAAAGCGUGGGGAGCAAACAGG